GACGAACGCUGGCGGCAGGCCUAACACAUGCAAGUCGAACGGUAACAGGAAGAAGCUUGCUUCUUUGCUGACGAGUGGCGGACGGGUGAGUAAUGUCUGGGAAACUGCCUGAUGGAGGGGGGUAACUACUGGAAACGGUAGCUAAUACCGCAUAACGUCGCAAGACCAAAGAGGGGGACCUUCGGGCCUCUUGCCAUCGGAUGCGCCCAGAUGGGAUUAGCUAGUUGGUGGGGUAACGGCUCACCAAGGCGACGAUCCCUAGCUGGUCUGAGAGGAUGACCAGCCACACUGGAACUGGGACACGGUCCAGACUCCUACGGGAGGCAGCAGUGGGGAAUAUUGCACAAUGGGCGCAAGCCUGAUGCAGCCAUGCCGCGUGUAUGAAGAAGGCCUUCGGGUUGUAAAGUACUUUCAGCGGGGAGGAAGGCGGUGAGGUUAAUAACCUCAUCGAUUGACGUUACCCGCAGAAGAAGCACCGGCUAACUCCGUGCCAGCAGCCGCCGCAA
This 506-nucleotide ribosomal RNA is filed under the name uncultured bacterium. Its description in RNAcentral is "partial 16S ribosomal RNA". It matches the Rfam family "Bacterial small subunit ribosomal RNA", at positions 28 to 523 of the family's 1533-position model. The record is from RNAcentral.